GGAUGUGAGGGCAAUCUGGCUGCGACAUCUGUUACCCCACUGAUCACCAGGGUUGAUUUGGCUGAUCUGGCUGGCUAAGCAGGUGUCCCCUUCCUCCCUCACCCACUCGGUGGAAGAGGGCGGCCUUCCCUGAAUAGAGACAGGCCGGUCUUCCAGUCCGAGGGUAUAUGAGUAGCUGCGCUCCCCUGCUAGAACAUCCAAACAAGCUCUCAAGAAUAUUCUGCAACUUCCUUUUUUUUUUUUUUAAUUGAGGUGAACUAUCUAAGUUUGAAGGGUAAAUUCCCCACCUCUUCAAAGCACAUGUGUGGAGUAGAU
This 315-nucleotide small nuclear RNA is filed under the name Erinaceus europaeus (western European hedgehog). RNAcentral describes it as "7SK RNA". It matches the Rfam family "7SK RNA". From Rfam's summary of the family: 7SK was discovered as an abundant small nuclear RNA in the mid-70s but a possible function has only recently been suggested. Two independent studies have found that 7SK RNA binds the CDK9/cyclin T complex (known as elongation factor P-TEFb). P-TEFb activates transcription by phosphorylating the C-terminal domain of RNA polymerase II. Lineage: Eukaryota; Metazoa; Chordata; Mammalia; Eulipotyphla; Erinaceidae. The record is from Rfam by way of RNAcentral.